Molecule: ribosomal RNA, 515 nt
Filed under: uncultured bacterium
Lineage: Bacteria
Description: partial 16S ribosomal RNA
Rfam family: Bacterial small subunit ribosomal RNA
Source: RNAcentral
GAUGAACGCUGGCGGCGUGCCUAAUACAUGCAAGUCGAGCGAAUGGAUUAAGAGCUUGCUCUUAUGAAGUUAGCGGCGGACGGGUGAGUAACACGUGGGUAACCUGGCCAUAAGACUGGGAUAACUCCGGGAAACCGGGGCUAAUACCGGAUAACAUUUUGAACCGCAUGGUUCGAAAUUGAAAGGCGGCUUCGGCUGUCAUUUAUGGAUGGACCCGCGUCGCAUUAGCUAGUUGGUGAGGUAACGGCACACCAAGGCAACGAUGCGUAGCCGACCUGAGAGGGUGAUCGGCCACACUGGGACUGAGACACGGCCCAGACUCCUACGGGAGGCAGCAGCAGGGAAUCUUCCGCAAUGGACGAAAGUCUGACGGAGCAACGCCGCGUGAGUGAUGAAGGCUUUCGGGUCGUAAAACUCUGUUGUUAGGGAAGAACAAGUGCUAGUUGAAUAAGCUGGCACCUUGACGGUACCUAACCAGAAAGCCACGGCUAACUACGUGCCAGCCGCCGCCGUAA